RNAcentral lists this ribosomal RNA (698 nucleotides) under uncultured bacterium. RNAcentral describes it as "bacterial SSU rRNA". It matches the Rfam family "Bacterial small subunit ribosomal RNA", at positions 32 to 715 of the family's 1533-position model. The record is from RNAcentral.
AACGCUAGCUACAGGCUUAACACAUGCAAGUCGAGGGGCAGCAUGUAGGCGGGCUUGCUCGCCUAUGAUGGCGACCGGCGCACGGGUGAGUAACGCGUAUCCGACCUGCCGCACACUCCGGGAUAGCCUUGCGAAAGCAAGUUUAAUACCGGAUGCCGUCGAGAUGCCGCAUGGUGUCAUGACGAAAGGUUGAUUCCGGUGUGCGAUGGGGAUGCGUCCCAUUAGCUGGUUGGCGGGGUAACGGCUCACCAAGGCGACGAUGGGUAGGGGUUCUGAGAGGAAGGUCCCCCACAUUGGAACUGAGACACGGUCCAAACUCCUACGGGAGGCAGCAGUGAGGAAUAUUGGUCAAUGGGCGUAAGCCUGAACCAGCCAAGUAGCGUGCAGGAUGACGGCCCUAUGGGUUGUAAACUGCUUUUAAGCGGGGAUAAAGUCAGGGACGUGUCCCUGUUUGCAGGUACCGCUUGAAUAAGGACCGGCUAAUUCCGUGCCAGCAGCCGCGGUAAUACGGAAGGUCCGGGCGUUAUCCGGAUUUAUUGGGUUUAAAGGGAGCGUAGGCGGGACGCCAAGUCAGCUGUGAAAUGCCAUGGCUCAACCAUGGAGCUGCAGUUGAAACUGGCGUUCUUGAGUUGUCGCAGGGGCGGUGGAACUCGUGGUGUAGCGGUGAAAUGCUUAGAUAUCACGAAGAACUCCGAUUG